Molecule: transfer RNA, 85 nt
Filed under: Gallionella sp.
Lineage: Bacteria; Pseudomonadati; Pseudomonadota; Betaproteobacteria; Nitrosomonadales; Gallionellaceae
Description: tRNA-Leu
Rfam family: tRNA
About the family: Transfer RNA (tRNA) molecules are approximately 80 nucleotides in length. Their secondary structure includes four short double-helical elements and three loops (D, anti-codon, and T loops).
Source: RNAcentral
GCCCAGAUGGCGGAAUUGGUAGACGCGCACGGUUCAGGUCCGUGUGCCGCAAGGUGUGGUGGUUCGAGUCCUCUUCUGGGCACCA